Molecule: ribosomal RNA, 504 nt
Filed under: uncultured bacterium
Lineage: Bacteria
Description: bacterial SSU rRNA
Rfam family: Bacterial small subunit ribosomal RNA
Source: RNAcentral
GACGAACGCUGGCGGCGUGGAUUAGGCAUGCAAGUCGAACGGUAUCAUCCUUUCGGGGGUGAGAGAGUGGCGAACUGGUGAGUAACACGUAGGUUAUCUACCCUCAAGACGGGGACAACCCAGGGAAACUUGGGCUAAUACCGGAUGUGAGCAACUUUUAGUUGUUUGAAAGGUGGCGUAAGCUGUCGCUUGGGGAUGAGCCUGCGUCCUAUUAGUUAGUUGGUGAGGUAACGGCUCACCUAGGCAAUGAUAGGUAGGCGGCCUUAACGGGUGGUCGCCCACACUGGGAUUGAGAUACGGCCCAGACUCCUACGGGAGGCAGCAGUCGAGAAUAGUCUACAAUGGUCGGAAGACUGAUAGUGCGACGCCGCGUGAACGAUGAAUCCCUUCGGGGUGUAAAGUUCUUUUAUAUGUGAGCAGUGCUUCUUAUAUUAACAGUAUGGGGAGAGAGAUAUUAGCAUAUGAAUAAGCAACGGCUAACUCGUGCCAGCAGCCGCGGUAAUA